AGCGGCGGACGGGUGAGUAACACGUGGGUAACCUGCCCAAGAGACUGGGAUAACACCUGGAAACAGAUGCUAAUACCGGAUAACAACACUAGACGCAUGUCUAGAGUUUAAAAGAUGGUUCUGCUAUCACUCUUGGAUGGACCUGCGGUGCAUUAGCUAGUUGGUAAGGUAACGGCUUACCAAGGCAAUGAUGCAUAGCCGAGUUGAGAGACUGAUCGGCCACAUUGGGACUGAGACACGGCCCAAACUCCUACGGGAGGCAGCAGUAGGGAAUCUUCCACAAUGGACGCAAGUCUGAUGGAGCAACGCCGCGUGAGUGAAGAAGGGUUUCGGCUCGUAAAGCUCUGUUGUUGGAGAAGAACGUGCGUGAGAGUAACUGUUCACGCAGUGACGGUAUCCAACCAGAAAGUCACGGCUAACUACGUGCCAGCAGCCGCGGUAAUACGUAGGUGGCAAGCGUUAUCCGGAUUUAUUGGGCGUAAAGCGAGCGCAGGCGGUUGCUUAGGUCUGAUGUGAAAGCCUUCGGCUUAACCGAAGAAGUGCAUCGGAAACCGGGCGACUUGAGUGCAGAAGAGGACAGUGGAACUCCAUGUGUAGCGGUGGAAUGCGUAGAUAUAUGGAAGAACACCAGUGGCGAAGGCGGCUGUCUGGUCUGCACUGACGCUGANGCUCGAAGCAUGGGUAGCGAACAGGAUUAGAUACCCUGGUA
This 709-nucleotide ribosomal RNA is filed under the name uncultured bacterium. Its description in RNAcentral is "bacterial SSU rRNA". It matches the Rfam family "Bacterial small subunit ribosomal RNA", at positions 94 to 792 of the family's 1533-position model. The record is from RNAcentral.